This 253-nucleotide ribosomal RNA is filed under the name uncultured bacterium. RNAcentral's name for it is "partial 16S ribosomal RNA". It matches the Rfam family "Bacterial small subunit ribosomal RNA", at positions 524 to 776 of the family's 1533-position model. The record is from RNAcentral.
UACGAAGGGGGCUAGCGUUGCUCGGAAUCACUGGGCGUAAAGCGCACGUAGGCGGAUUGUUAAGUCGGGGGUGAAAUCCUGGAGCUCAACUCCAGAACUGCCCUUGAUACUGGGGAUCUUGAGUCCGGAAGAGGUGAGUGGAACUCCGAGUGUAGAGGUGAAAUUCGUAGAUAUUCGGAAGAACACCAGUGGCGAAGGCGGCUCACUGGUCCGGUACUGACGCUGAGGUGCGAAAGCGUGGGGAGCAAACAGG